Non-coding RNA from Cryptococcus depauperatus CBS 7841, 119 nucleotides. NCBI's taxonomy places the organism in Eukaryota, Fungi, Basidiomycota, Tremellomycetes, Tremellales, Cryptococcaceae. The record is from Rfam.
AUCCUCGGCCAUAGAAAGUGUGAAGCUCAGCGUCCCGUCAGAUCCGCUUAGAUAAGUCGCUUAUCGCUCAGUUAGUACCAGGGUGGGGGACCACCUGGGAAUCCUGGGUGCCGAGGUUU